AGUCGACGGGAUCCAUCAAGCUUGCUUGGUGGUGAGAGUGGCGAACGGGUGAGUAAUGCGUGACCGACCUGCCCCAUGCUCCGGAAUAGCUCCUGGAAACGGGUGGUAAUGCCGGAUGUUCCACAUGAUCGCAUGUGAUUGUGGGAAAGAUUCUAUCGGCGUGGGAUGGGGUCGCGUCCUAUCAGCUUGUUGGUGAGGUAACGGCUCACCAAGGCUUCGACGGGUAGCCGGCCUGAGAGGGCGACCGGCCACAUUGGGACUGAGAUACGGCCCAGACUCCUACGGGAGGCAGCAGUGGGGAAUAUUGCACAAUGGGCGCAAGCCUGAUGCAGCGACGCCGCGUGAGGGAUGGAGGCCUUCGGGUUGUAAACCUCUUUUGUUUGGGAGCAAGCCUUCGGGUGAGUGUACCUUUCGAAUAAGCGCCGGCUAACUACGUGCCAGCAGCCGCGGUAAUACGUAGGGCGCAAGCGUUAUCCGGAUUUAUUGGGCGUAAAGGGCUCGUAGGCGGCUCGUCGCGUCCGGUGUGAAAGUCCAUCGCUUAACGGUGGAUCUGCGCCGGGUACGGGCGGGCUGGAGUGCGGUAGGGGAGACUGGAAUUCCCGGUGUAACGGUGGAAUGUGUAGAUAUCGGGAAGAACACCGAUGGCGAAGGCAGGUCUCUGGGCCGUCACUGACGCUGAGGAGCGAAAGCGUGGGGAGCGAACAGGAUUAGAUACCCUGGUAGUCCACGCCGUAAACGGUGGACGCUGGAUGUGGGGCACGUUCCACGUGUUCCGUGUCGGAGCUAACGCGUUAAGCGUCCCGCCUGGG
RNAcentral lists this ribosomal RNA (809 nucleotides) under Bifidobacterium sp. HGH0125. Its description in RNAcentral is "bacterial SSU rRNA". It matches the Rfam family "Bacterial small subunit ribosomal RNA", at positions 60 to 877 of the family's 1533-position model. The record is from RNAcentral. Lineage: Bacteria; Bacillati; Actinomycetota; Actinomycetes; Bifidobacteriales; Bifidobacteriaceae.